UACGUAGGGGGGCAAGCGUUGUCCGGAUUUAUUGGGCGUAAAGAGCGUGUAGGCGGCCUGACAGGUCUGCUGUGAAAACUCGAGGCUCAACCUCGAGAUGUCGGCGGAAACCGUCUGGCUAGAGUCCGGGAAGAGGAGAGUGGAAUUCCUGGUGUAGCGGUGAAAUGCGCAGAUAUCAGGAAGAACACCUAUGGCGAAGGCAGCUCUCUGGGACGGUACUGACGC
This 225-nucleotide ribosomal RNA is filed under the name uncultured bacterium. RNAcentral describes it as "partial 16S ribosomal RNA". It matches the Rfam family "Bacterial small subunit ribosomal RNA", at positions 524 to 746 of the family's 1533-position model. The record is from RNAcentral.